RNAcentral lists this ribosomal RNA (1559 nucleotides) under Eptesicus fuscus (big brown bat). Its description in RNAcentral is "16S ribosomal RNA". It matches the Rfam family "Bacterial large subunit ribosomal RNA". Lineage: Eukaryota; Metazoa; Chordata; Mammalia; Chiroptera; Vespertilionidae. The record is from RNAcentral.
AAACCAAAAAUAGCUCAAAACAUAAUACCACUAAACUAAUAAUAUAAAUUUAAAUAAAACAUUAAAUAUAACUAAAGUAUAGGUGAUAGAAAUUUUAUAUGACGCUAUAGAAAAAGUACCGCAAGGGAAAAAAUGAAAGAAAAUAUAAGUACAAAAUAGCAAAGUUUAACACUUGUACCUUUUGCAUAAUGACUCAACUAGAAGAUAUUAGCAAAAUGAACUGAAGUUAAGUGGCCCGAAACCAGACGAGCUACCUAUUUAGCAGCAUAUAGAGCGAACCCGUCUAUGUGGCAAAAUAGUGGGACGACUACUAGGUAGUGGCGACAAACCUAUCGAGCCUGGUGAUAGCUGGUUGUCCAGAAUAGAAUUUUAGUUCCAAUUUAAGCCUGCAGAAAAAAUAAGUAAAUUAAAAUGUAGACUUAAAGAGUAAUCUAAAAAGGUACAGCUUUUUAGAUCAGGGAAACAACCCUUAUUAGAGAGUAAGACAUAAAUUAAACCACAAUAGUUGGCCUAAAAGCAGCCACCAAAUAAGAAAGCGUUCAAGCCCGACCGCACUUAAAAUUAAUUCCAACUAUAACUCCAAAACUCCUAACACAAAACUGGGCUAUUCUAUUUACAAAUAGAAGCAACAAUGUUGAUAUGAGUAACAAGAAAAAAUUCUCCUAGCACAUGUGUAUAUCAGAACGAAUAAUUCGCUGAUAGUUACCAAAAUAAACACAACCAACUAAUCAAAUAAUUAAUAUUAAUUGUUAACCCAACACAGGAGUGCAGUCAAGGAAAGAUCUAAAAAAGUAAAAGGAACUCGGCAAACACAAAUUCCGCCUGUUUACCAAAAACAUCACCUCUAGCAUAAAAAGUAUUAGAGGCAUUGCCUGCCCAGUGACUUUAGUUUAACGGCCGCGGUAUUCUGACCGUGCAAAGGUAGCAUAAUCACUUGUUCCCUAAAUAGGGACUCGUAUGAACGGCUUCACGAGAAUUUUGCUGUCUCUUACUUUAAAUCAGUGAAAUUGACAUCCCCGUGAAGAGGCGGGGAUUAAAAAAUAAGACGAGAAGACCCUAUGGAGCUUUAAUUAACCAGCUUAUGGACUAUAAAAUCAAUCUACAAGAGAUAAAUACGCUUCAAUUAAGAUGGCAAUUUAGGUUGGGGUGACCUCGGAAUAAAGACUAACUCCCGAGAAAGUUCUAUUAAGACCUACAAGUCAAAAUUAUUUUACUAUAUAUUGAUCCGCCACUCAGCGACCAACGGAACAAGUUACCCUAGGGAUAACAGCGCAAUCCUAUUUAAGAGUCCAUAUCGACAAUUAGGGUUUACGACCUCGAUGUUGGAUCAGGACACCCUAAUGGUGCAGCAGCUAUUAACGUGUUCGUUUGUUCAACGAUUAAAGUCCUACGUGAUCUGAGUUCAGACCGGAGUAAUCCAGGUCGGUUUCUAUCUAUUUACAAGUCCCUCCCAGUACGAAAGGACAAGAGAGACAGGGCCCACUUAAAACUAAGCGCNNNNNNNNNNNNNNNNNNNNNNNNNNNNNNNNNNNNNNNNNNNNNNNNCAAAAUAAGGGUCU